AUAUUUUUGUGAUUCAUAAGUAUAAUGAUGGAGUUUUCAUAUUCACGUGUGAGAUGUGCCCCCCUCAAACCUCUUUAUGAUGUCAGCACAUUGCUCAUCUGACA
Molecule: small nucleolar RNA, 104 nt
Organism: Pongo abelii (Sumatran orangutan)
Lineage: Eukaryota; Metazoa; Chordata; Mammalia; Primates; Hominidae
Source: Ensembl